Molecule: RNA transcript, 3540 nt
Organism: Salarias fasciatus (jewelled blenny)
Lineage: Eukaryota; Metazoa; Chordata; Actinopteri; Blenniiformes; Blenniidae
Gene name: galactokinase-like
Exons: 9
Source: RefSeq, a predicted model, not a curated record
AAACAUUACAGCACCGGACCCGGGUCUGAGACGCACUGUGUGUGCAGUGGACUGCCCUGUUACCCCCGCUGAAGCCCCCGGUAGUUAAGAUUACAAGACCCGAACCGGACCUGGACCCGACCCGGGACACCGGAGACGAACCGCGUGUGUGUGUGUGUGUGGUGUGUGUGUAGUGGACUGCCAAACUGUUAACCCCAAACAGUCAUUAUGGCCUGUUCGAUUCCCACCGUGGCGGACCUGCUGGCGGAGGCGCGGCUCCUGUUCGGUCAGGUGUUCGGAGGAGACGUCCCGCACGUGGCGGCGUGCGCCCCGGGGAGAGUCAACCUGAUCGGGGAGCACACCGACUACAACCAGGGGGUGGUGCUCCCGAUGGCGUUGCCCCUGGUUACCGUGGUGGUGGGGAGGCGGACCCCGGGCCCGGGCGUUACCGUGGUAACAGGGACGAAGGAUGCGGACGAGCCCCACAGGGUGGACCUGGUCCUGCCCCCCGGCGGCGCCCCGCUGCCCCCGGGGUCGCCCCGCUGGGCCAACUACGUGAAGGGCGUGGUGGAACAUUACCGAGGUCCGGUCCAGGGCUUCAGAGCGGUGGUGGUCAGCAGCGUGCCGCUGGGCGGAGGUCUGUCCAGCUCCGCCUCUCUGGAGGUGGCCUUCUACACCUUCCUGCAGCAGCUAGAGCCAGAUGACGGAGACCUGGUGUCCAAAGCUGUGGCCUGCCAGCAGGCGGAGCACAGCCACGCCGGCGUCCCCUGUGGCAUCAUGGACCAGUUUGUGUCGGUUCUGGGUCGGGAGGGCCACGCUCUGCUCAUCGACUGCCGGUCUCUGGAGUUCUCCCCCGUCCCCCUCUCGGACCCCGACCUCGUCAUCCUCAUCACCAACUCCAACGUGAAGCACUCCCUGACGGGCAGCGAGUAUCCCAGCAGGCGGAGGCAGUGCGAGGAGGCCGCCUCCGCCCUGGGGAGGCGGAGCCUGAGGGAGGCCAGCAUGGAGGAGCUGGAGGACGCCCGGCCCCGGAUGGACGCCGUCACCUUCCGCCGCGCUCGCCACGUGAUCGAGGAGAUCCGCCGGACGCUGGACGCCGUGGAGGCGCUGAGACGAGGAGCCUACCAGGAGUUCGGCAGACUGAUGGUGGAGAGCCACAACUCUCUGAGGGACCUGUUCGAGGUGAGCUGCAUCGAGCUGGACCAGCUGGUGGCGGCCGCCUUGGAGGUGGAGGGCGUGUACGGCAGCCGCAUGACGGGCGGAGGCUUCGGCGGCUGCACCGUCACCCUGCUGGAGGCCCGGGCCGUGGACCGGACCGUCCUCCACCUGCAGGUGCGUCUUCUCCACUAUAACUUGCGCCACGGGCCGGAAAACUACGAGCUGCGCACGUGCUCGGUUCGAGCGUUCGCCGUCGACCUGUUUUGUACCUGGAGGGCCUUUCUGGCUCUGCUCUGCGAGCGGUUCUGCUACAGGACGUCCCAGGGCGCCGCCCGGCCUCACCCGUGCGACCCUGGAGGGAGCCGCCUGAGGCUGGAGUGGGCGCCGAGGCCCGACCAGCUCCCGCAGGACCAGUACGACAAGCAGCGCUACCGCGGGCUGGCCGUGCGCGACGCCGAGGCGGCGGCGGCGGCGGACGACGUCCCGCUGGGCCCCCGCCCCGUCGGCGACAUGCAGAGCUUCCUGGAGGAGCUGCUGAAGGUGUCUCUGGCCGAAGGGUUCCGGGUGGACCUGGCCUCGCCGGACCCGGCCGACGUCCUCCACUGCGCUUCGCUCCGACUGGUGAAGGGCUGAAGGCAGCCGAGAGUCCAGGAGCAGGACCGACACCGGGAUCCGCCCCUGGUCCUGAUCACUCACCACUUUAACAUCCAGCAUUCUAUCAAUGCGAUUGUCUUUCUGUAAUGAGUCAGUCUCUUUAAAACUGGCAUAUCCUCUCAAAUCUACUCAGACUAAAUAAUCCCAAUAAUCCCAACCCCAAGUGGUCAGAAGUUCACAUUCUCUACACUUUGAAGGAUGAAGCCUUUGCUUUCUGAACACACUCCACACCUGCAGCGACCUGCGACCUUCACGACCUUCACCUCCAACAUCAAGACAAACCGCUGACUGCUGUUAAAGCCUAAAGCUGCUGCGUGGCAUUAGAUUUCCUGUCAUGACAUUUCAUGGAGAUGUUUCGAUGCUUUUGCUCUUUCAACACUACUUUGUUGAUGUGUAACCAGAUGUUGAGUUGAGCCUGCAGAGAGAAAAUGAGUCCAUAUUGACUGGAACGUGUCGUCAGGACCGCCUGUCCUUUUCCAUUCAUCAUUCCUCUACUUUCACCAUUUCUGGAUGAGUUGAGAGCUGACGUGUCUGAGAGGACACCUUCAAUCUGAACCGUCUGAAGCGACGUUCUGACAGUGAGUCUGAAGACUUCAGGUAUAUCACAUAACUGAACACGGAUGGCCUUGGUUAAGAGUUGUUGAAUGAAGUCAUCAGAGGCCUCCAUCUAAACUGGUGUUUGACAGUAAACGAUAAAACAUCCAGCCCACCUGCCCAGUCCUGUGGUUGCUGUGGUCUGAUUGGUGGACUGGAGUCAGGAUGAGUCCCCGGACUGGACGCCAUAGUGGAACAGAGCCCGGUAGCUCGUCUGCUGGAUCAGACCACGAGGGCCAGCCUUCAUCCCCGCCUCUGUCUGUGAGCCUUUUCUCUGGACUCCAUCACAGAUUCAUGUGUUUUCCUUCUCUGGAGCAGCUUUGAUGGAGCGGGCCUCUGCAGAUCAGCAUUCCACCAGAAGACCUGCUGCUCUGGAGCUAAUCGGACUCUUCCAGCUGUCGGAGACGUUCCUUCCUGCCCCAGGUGUCAAACCUCCAGAGGCGGAUUUUGAGACGUGAGACGUGCUGCUUCUGGAGGUCCUCGCUCACAGCUUCCGGGACGUCUGCCGCGAACAUCCUGGUUCCAGACUCACACCUUCUCUUCUGGAAUGUGAUGAAAUCCAGAUGGACUCCUCAUCAGCCAGGUGGUCAUAAUGUUGUGGCUGUCCCUGGUUCCUCGCUGGUCCUGUCCUCACUGCGUCUGUCUCCGUCUUCUGUCUCUCAACAGGAGCGAUUCAGCGGGACUCCCACUUUCUACGUGACGACUCCGUCAGAAGGAGCUCGAGCGCUGGCCCUGUCCUGAGCGCCGGACGGAUCCUGUCCUGAGCGCCGGACGGAUCCUGUCCUGAGCGCCGGACGGAUCCUGUCCUGAGCGCCGGACGGAUCCUGUCCUGAGCGCCGGACGGAUCCUGUCCUGAGCGCCGGACGGAUCCUGUCCUGAGCGCCGGACGGAUCCUGUCCUCCGCCAUCGAAGUGCCUGGACGCCUGGACGCCUGCUCCGCCCACAGCUUUCCACAGCCGCCGUCUGUCACAUGAUUUCGACAGCCUGGACGCUCUCACUCAAAAUCAUUACAUGUAAUGAACAGAACUUAUUAUGGGAUGGAUUUCCUGGCAUUGCUUGAUUUUUCAGGGUGAUUAUUUUUUUAAUGUAAAUGUCAAAACGCUGUGAAAUGUGUGUGGUGUUAUUACGAAAUACAGACGCGCUCCUGAGACUCGG